GCCCGGUUAGCUCAAUCGGUAGAGCGUGAGACUCUUACAAGAGAUAUGGGGUAAGGUUGCGGGUUCGACCCCCGCAUCGGGCU
Molecule: transfer RNA, 83 nt
Filed under: Coniochaeta sp. 2T2.1
Lineage: Eukaryota; Fungi; Ascomycota; Sordariomycetes; Coniochaetales; Coniochaetaceae
Rfam family: tRNA
About the family: Transfer RNA (tRNA) molecules are approximately 80 nucleotides in length. Their secondary structure includes four short double-helical elements and three loops (D, anti-codon, and T loops).
Source: Rfam by way of RNAcentral